GCCUGGGUAGCUCAGUUGGUUGGGCGUCUGACUUCAGCUCAGGUCAUGAUCUUACAACUUGUGGGUUCAAGCCCCACGUCGGGCU
RNAcentral lists this transfer RNA (85 nucleotides) under Felis catus (domestic cat). It matches the Rfam family "tRNA". Rfam says of the family: Transfer RNA (tRNA) molecules are approximately 80 nucleotides in length. Their secondary structure includes four short double-helical elements and three loops (D, anti-codon, and T loops). Further hydrogen bonds mediate the characteristic L-shaped molecular structure. tRNAs have two regions of fundamental functional importance: the anti-codon, which is responsible for specific mRNA codon recognition, and the 3' end, to which the tRNAs corresponding amino acid is attached (by aminoacyl-tRNA synthetases). tRNAs cope with the degeneracy of the genetic code in two manners: having more than one tRNA (with a specific anti-codon) for a particular amino acid; and 'wobble' base-pairing, i.e. permitting non-standard base-pairing at the 3rd anti-codon position. Lineage: Eukaryota; Metazoa; Chordata; Mammalia; Carnivora; Felidae. The record is from Rfam by way of RNAcentral.